UACAGAGGGUGCGAGCGUUGUCCGGAAUCACUGGGCGUAAAGGGCGCGUAGGUGGCGACCCAAGUCUGUGGUGAAAGCUCGCCGCUUAACGGCGAGUCGGCCACGGAUACUGGGUGGCUCGAGCACUGUAGGGGCAGAUGGAAUUCCGGGUGUAGCGGUGGAAUGCGUAGAGAUCCGGAAGAACACCGGUGGCGAAGGCGGCUCGCUGGGCAGUGGCUGACGCUGAGGAGCGAAAGCCAGGGGAGCAAACGGG
RNAcentral lists this ribosomal RNA (253 nucleotides) under uncultured bacterium. RNAcentral's name for it is "partial 16S ribosomal RNA". It matches the Rfam family "Bacterial small subunit ribosomal RNA", at positions 524 to 776 of the family's 1533-position model. The record is from RNAcentral.